ACUAUAAAACACACUGACCUUCCAUAAAAUACCUUAAUAUAUUUUGUCCUCUCACCUACACACAUUACAAAGUGGACACGUUUGACUGCCACGAUGAAAUAUUUGGCUCUGGCUUUGCUGUUAUGUGCUUUGGCGUCACUGUCAAAUGCGUACUGCUACGUUAAAGAAAAUAAACCAGUUUUAGUUGCUGUGACCGAUCCCAUAGAUAACACGACUCAUAUCAUAAAUAAUGCGACCCUUUCCAUAAAUACGACCCAUUGUCAGGACGAUAUGGACAAAACAUGGCAUGCUGUAGGAUCUAAAUGGAGGAACAGUCGAUGUUAUGAUUGUGAUUGCAGUGGAUGUUGCACUGCGUUUUCAACCCCCAGAGGCUUCCCUGACGACUGUGUGUCAGUAUUUGACCCGAAGGCAUGUGAAUACAUAGUGCACAAGAAGGAUGACCCAUCUGUGCUCUGUCCAAUUUUUUCUGCAGUAGGAAAAUGAUUAUGGUCUGAAACUCUGAAGCAUUUUCUUUUCUUUCUUUUUUUGGUUGUUGUUGAACUGGGAAAAAAGAGACGAUCCCUCACUGGCUUCCCACAAUAACACCGCCUGUUUUAGAAGCACAGCUGCUAGAAAUUGGAAAUUAAAUACUGCGACAGUUAACUUUCAAAUAAAUAAAUAAAUAAAUCACACAUUUCUUCCU
Molecule: long non-coding RNA, 682 nt
Organism: Larimichthys crocea (large yellow croaker)
Lineage: Eukaryota; Metazoa; Chordata; Actinopteri; Sciaenidae
Exons: 4
Source: RefSeq, a predicted model, not a curated record